UAUAUGGGAAUGAGUUAUUACCCAAUUUCAAGGAUUCAUUCCCUUAUUUGUAUUCCUAUUCCUAUAAUCCAAACAUUAACAAUGGGAAUCAAUGAUUCCCAUUCCCAUUCCCCACUCCUAUUACCCUAAUAAACCAAACGCCCCCAAGAAUAAGCUAGGGAUUGAGGGGACUUAGCAUGCUUAUUGUAUUGGUUAAGCUCAGUUGAUCGUUAUUUUGAUUCUAUUUUACUUAGUAGCCUUUGGAUUUGAGUCAAGUUGGGAUAUUUCUUAAUUUACAUGAGAGUUGACCUCGCUCUUGGAGCAGCACAAAAAAGUGUCUGUCUAGUUAUCUCUCACAGAAUCAGAAUUGCUGCUUUGGGUUCUUACCUAUGUCAGAGCUUUCCACUUCAUGCUUUCAAUAGAGGCUAGCUCCAGUUGUAUCUUGAGGCAUAGAAUUUGAUUAACCUAGAUGAAAGACUAAGAUUUUUUUCCCUAGGAGAAAAUCACUUGUUUUAUUUUGUUUUUCCUCUGCCAACUUGUUGUUUUUUUUUCUUUAGUUUUUAAUUGCUGUAUGAUAUAUCUUUUGAACAGAAUUGUAUUUUUCUUUGUUGUAUCUAUCUAACAUUAAGCACAUGACUUUUGCUUUUCUUCUUUGCCUCUCUAAGUGAAACCGUGUUUAGAGAUUGAGCAGGUGGGAAAGAACAGUUAGCUUGUUUUCUACUUGAUACUUGAAAAAUAAAAUAGAUAGUGAAAAUGUGUUCUCAACUGGGAUCGACAGGCACAUGUGAUAUUUAUUUUUUAGUUUCCUUUUAUUUUCUUGCUUCCCUUAGGAAAUUUCUUACUUUAUUUAUUGAAAUAUAUCAUAGUUUGGUAACGGUUCACCAUUAGGCAGACACUAUUGUAAACUUUUAUUAUUAAGUUUAUGUCUGUAGGAAUUGAUGGAUAUCACAACGAAGUAAUCAUGGUAAUCUUAUGUUGCACCGGACAUUUUUUUCUUCUCCCUUUCUAUUGAAACUGUUGCUCUUUCAGAGAUUUAUAUGAACUGAUUUUUUAUAUGAUUUGAUUUGGGGUGUAAAAGGUGGCAAAAAUGGGUGAUUCAGUGGAUUGAUGUCGCACUGGAUUCAGGAGAAUAUGCCCUCGUUUCGAGUCAUUAAAUAGGGGUUCUCCUCAUGACGGUCACAAAUCCCUACUGAAAGAAACAACUGUGAUCUAGUUCUCGACUUAGUAUUUGCUUGCAGUGAGCAAAAAAUACCUAACGGCUAAAUUGGUGGUUUAAUAUCCGCUGAUGGAAACAGUUUGGAUCUCUCAAAAUUGUAGCUUUUGUAAGUUACUGAAAGUGUUUACCAUGCCAUCAAACAGUGAUUGAAAAUGAUUUAGAGGUCCAUGAUAUGAAAUCAAUGGUCUGAUCUAUAGCUAUUUUUCCCUACUAGUUGGGUUAGCUACAUGGAACGGAUUUCACCAUUGAGCUAAAGUAUAUAGCUAUUUGCAAGACUUAUCUAGAGGCUCUGGAACAUGGAUCUCAAGAUCACUUUAGGAUCUAACGAGGCAGGUACGCAACAGUUUUCUGAAAUGAACUAACAGAAUUGCUAUAAACGUUGGAGAGUUGAACUGUUGAACGCCUUUCAGUCACCUGAGUUUCGUUGUUCUUCAUCCUAUUUAAUUGAUUUUUGGUUAAUUUUAAAUUUUAUAUUUGUAAUAAAUAACAAACGCCGUUGGCUGUUAAUUGACAAUAUAAUCACGCUUUAUUCAAGUGAUA
Long non-coding RNA from Zingiber officinale, 1735 nucleotides. RefSeq lists it as uncharacterized. The record is from RefSeq and is a predicted model, not a curated record. NCBI's taxonomy places the organism in Eukaryota, Viridiplantae, Streptophyta, Magnoliopsida, Zingiberales, Zingiberaceae. The transcript has 3 exons.